RNAcentral lists this long non-coding RNA (216 nucleotides) under Elaeis guineensis (African oil palm). RNAcentral describes it as "long non-coding RNA (EGUI_LNC049085)". The record is from RNAcentral. Lineage: Eukaryota; Viridiplantae; Streptophyta; Magnoliopsida; Arecales; Arecaceae.
GAGCUAAUUGAAUCUAUCAUAUGACCGAUGAUAAAGUUUGACGAUUCAUCCAUGAUCUGUCAUUUGGUCGAGACUCACGAUAGAGGGACUGUAUCAUACGUUAACUGCACCUAGAGGUUCAUCAUCUUUUAUUCUACUGGGUUGUCACUACAUACUGCUAGGUGUCACUAGUGGAUUGUAAGACCCACAAACAUCAUUUUGAUGAUCGAUGAUCUU